RNAcentral lists this unclassified non-coding RNA (326 nucleotides) under uncultured Eurotiomycetes. RNAcentral describes it as "sequence contains ITS1". The stretch from base 1 to 105 matches the Rfam family "5.8S ribosomal RNA", at positions 50 to 154 of the family's 154-position model. Lineage: Eukaryota; Fungi; Ascomycota; Eurotiomycetes. The record is from RNAcentral.
GAAAUGCGAUAAGUAAUGUGAAUUGCAGAAUUCAGUGAAUCAUCGAAUCUUUGAACGCACAUUGCGCCCUCUGGUAUUCCGGGGGGCAUGCCUGUUCGAGCGUCAUUUCACCACUCAAGCAUUGCUUGGUAUUAGGCACUCGUCCGUCCCUCGUGGCGGGCGGGCCUCAAAACCUUCGGCGAAGUCACACCGGCUUUGGGCGCAGUAGAAUCAUCUUAAACGCUCUGUGAGUCCGGUCGAGUCUUUUGCCGCGAAAGAUUCUCACGAAUCAUCCUUUUUAAAGGUUGACCUCGGAUCAGGUAGGGAUACCCGCAUCGAUGAAGAAC